CCUACGGGAGGCAGCAGUGAGGAAUAUUGGUCAAUGGACGAGAGUCUGAACCAGCCAAGUAGCGUGAAGGAUGACUGCCCUAUGGGUUGUAAACUUCUUUUAUAUGGGAAUAAAACAGGGUAUGCAUACCCUCUUGUAUGUACCAUAUGAAUAAGGAUCGGCUAACUCCGUGCCAGCAGCCGCGGUAAUACGGAGGAUCCGAGCGUUAUCCGGAUUUAUUGGGUUUAAAGGGAGCGUAGGUGGAUUGUUAAGUCAGUUGUGAAAGUUUGCGGCUGAACCGUAAAAUUGCAGUUGAAACUGGCAGUCGUGAGUACAGUAGAGGUAGGCGGAAUUCGUGGUGUAGCGGUGAAAUGCUUAGAUAUCACGAAGAACUCCGAUUGCGAAGGCAGCUCAAGGGACUGCAACUGACACUGAUGCUCGAAAGUGUGGGUAUCAAACAGGAUUAGAGACCCCAGUAGUC
RNAcentral lists this ribosomal RNA (460 nucleotides) under uncultured bacterium. RNAcentral describes it as "partial 16S ribosomal RNA". It matches the Rfam family "Bacterial small subunit ribosomal RNA", at positions 338 to 795 of the family's 1533-position model. The record is from RNAcentral.